CAAACGACUCUCGGCAAUGGAUAUCUCGGCUCUUGCAUCGAUGAAGAACGUAGUGAAAUGCGAUACUUGGUGUGAAUUGCAGAAUCUCGUGAACCAUUGAGUCUUUGAACGCAAGUUGUGCCCGAGGCCUUGUGGCCGAGGGCGCGCCUGCUUGGGUGUCAUGG
Molecule: ribosomal RNA, 164 nt
Filed under: Zingiber citriodorum
Lineage: Eukaryota; Viridiplantae; Streptophyta; Magnoliopsida; Zingiberales; Zingiberaceae
Description: 5.8S ribosomal RNA
Rfam family: 5.8S ribosomal RNA
About the family: 5.8S ribosomal RNA (5.8S rRNA) is a component of the large subunit of the eukaryotic ribosome. It is transcribed by RNA polymerase I as part of the 45S precursor that also contains 18S and 28S rRNA. Functionally, it is thought that 5.8S rRNA may be involved in ribosome translocation.
Source: RNAcentral